Vicugna pacos (alpaca) is the source of this 389-nucleotide non-coding RNA. NCBI's taxonomy places the organism in Eukaryota, Metazoa, Chordata, Mammalia, Artiodactyla, Camelidae. The record is from RefSeq and is a predicted model, not a curated record.
AGAGGGCAAAGUGGCCACAGACUUGUUCAAGGUGAAGUCAGCCAUUUGUUGGAAUGCCUUGUGGAUCAGUCAUGUUGAGGGAAUCGACUAAUGCUGAUUACACUCGCUUGUUGCAGAGGUACUAGGAGAGAGAGGUAGCUGCUGCCCUCCUUUGCCAGGAGCACCGGGGACUUGGAAGCUCCGUAACUGCACUUCCAUUGACUGUGGACUUGAAUGCCUGCUUUUCCUGCAAUAGAGCUAAAUUGGCUAAGCUGGUCUUCGAAAGUCAGAUCAUGUCUUUUGUUCUCUAACUAUAACAAAAAAGACAAUAUAGCUUUUUUAAGGGACUGAUUUGUAAUAACUAUAAAGACAAAUCAAGACCAGUUAGUCAUUGACUUACAUCUUAUCUC